UACGUAGGUGGCAAGCGUUGUCCGGAUUUAUCGGGUUUAAAGGGUGCGUAGGCGGUCUAUUAAGUCAGUGCUGAAAUAUCCCGGCUUAACCGGGAGGGUGGCAUUGAUACUGAUGGACUUGAGUGCAGUCGAGGUAGGCGGAAUUGACGGUGUAGCGGUGAAAUGCUUAGAUAUCGUCAAGAACACCGAUAGUGAAGACAGCUUACUAGACUGUAACUGACGCUGAGGCGCGACAGCGUGGGGAGCAAACAGG
Molecule: ribosomal RNA, 253 nt
Filed under: uncultured bacterium
Lineage: Bacteria
Description: partial 16S ribosomal RNA
Rfam family: Bacterial small subunit ribosomal RNA
Source: RNAcentral